This 2078-nucleotide long non-coding RNA is filed under the name Phocoena sinus (vaquita). RNAcentral describes it as "lncRNA (ENSPSNG00000009442.1)". Lineage: Eukaryota; Metazoa; Chordata; Mammalia; Artiodactyla; Phocoenidae. The record is from RNAcentral.
GCCAAAUGAAGUCUAAGAAUAAGCACAAAGAAAUCUACAACCAGAUACAUCAAGUAAAAGUAAUGGAAGACAAAGACAGAAACUCUCGAAUGUCACAAAGGGAAAGCAACACAUCAUUAAAAAAGAGAACCCUGGUAUGAUUAACAGCUUACUUAGCAUCAGAAACUAUGAAGCCCAGGGGCUUCCCUGGUGGUUCAGUGGUUAAGACUCUCCACUUCCAUGCUUCCACUGCAAAGAGGCAUGGGUUCAAUCUCUGGUCAGGGAAGUUCUGCAUGCUGUGAGGUGUGGCCAAAAAAAGAAUGAAACUAUGUAGCCCAGAAGGCAGUGGGAUGCCAUAUUAAAAUGCUGAAGGAAGAAAUUAUCACCAUGAACUUUUUCUUUCAAAAGUGAAAGUGAGAUAAACAGAUUCCCAUAUAAAGGAACACUGAGAGAACUGUUUGUUAGCAGACCUGUCUUUUGAGAAAUACUAAUGAGAGUUCUUCAGGCUGAAAGCAGUGGACCUUAGGCAGUGAUUUUAAUCCGUUCCAAAAAAGAGCAUGUGUUAAAAGAAUUCUGUAAUUCCAAAAUCUGAAUAUACCAGUCACUAGUACAGAGAUUGAAACAGUAAUUAAAAACCUCCCAAAAAACAAAAGUCCAGGAACAGACUGCUUCACAAGUGAAUUCUACCAAACAUUCAAAGAUUUAAUACCCAAUCCUUCUAAAACUAUUUGAAAAAAUUGAAGAGGAGGUAACACUUCCAAACUCAUUUUAUGAGGUCAACAUCACCUUGAUACCAAAACCAGAAAAAUACAACACACACACAGACACAGACAUACACACAAAGGAUAUUAUAGGCCAAUAUCUCUGAUGAAGAUGGAUGCAAAAAUCCUCAACAAAAUAUUGGCAAGCCAAAUUCAACAAUACAUCAAAGGGUCAUACAAGUGUGAUUUAUUCCAGGGAUGCAAGGAUGGUUCAACACCCACAAAUCAAUCAGUGUGAUACACCACAUUAACAAAGAAUAAAAACCACAUGAUCAUCUCAAUAGAUGCAGAAAGAACAUUUGACAAAAUUCAACAUCCAUUUAUUAUAAAACUUCUCAAUUAAGUGAGUAUAGAAUGGCCCUACCUCAACAUAAUAUAGGAUAAACCCACAGCUAAUGUCAUACUCAGUGGUGAAAAAUUAAGAGCUAUGCCUCUAAGGUCAAGAACAAUUCAAAGAUGCCACUCUCACCCCUCUUAUUCAACAUAGUGUUGGAAGUGCUGGCCAGAGCAAUUAGGCAAGAAAAAUAAAAGUCAUCCAGAUUGGAAAGGAAGAAGUAGAACUGUCUCUAUUUGCACAUGACAUGGUUUUGUGUAUACAAAGCCCUAAAGAUUCCACCAAAAAACUAUUGGAAAUAAUAAACAAAUACAGUAAAGGAUACAAAAUCAGUAUACAAAAAUCUGUUCCAUUUCUAUAUGCUAACAGUGGGCUAGCAGAAAAAGAUAUUAACAAAAACAAUCCCAUUUACAGUCUCAACAAAAGGCAGAAAAAGCCUAGGAAUCAGUUUAACCAAGAAGGUGAAAAGACUUAUACUGAAAACGAUAAGACAUUGUUAAAUUGAAGAAGAUACCAACAAUGGAAAGAUAUUCCAUCCUCAUGAAUUAGAAGAAUUAACAUUGUAAUAACUGUCCAUAUUACUUAAAGCAAUCCACAGAUUCAGUGCAAUCCCUAUCAAAAUCCCAAGGACAUUUUUCACAGACACAGAGCAAAAAAUUCUAAAAUUUCUAUGGAACCACAAAAGACUCCUCCAAAAUAGCCAAAGCAAUCCUGAGAAAAAAUAACAAAGCUGGAAGUAUCACACUCCCUGGUUUCAAACUAUAUUAGAAAGCCAUAGUAAUAUAAAGCAGCCUGGUGUUGGCAGAAAAACAGAUAUAAAGAUCAAUGAGGCAGAACUGAGAGCCCAGAAAUAAACCUAUGCAUAUAUAGACAAUUAAUUUAGGACAAAGGAAUAAAGAACCUACAAUGGAGAAAUGAUAGUCUCUUCAAUAAAUGAUAUUGUGAAUACUGGACAGCCACAUGGCAAAAAAAGUGAAACUAGACUACUGUCUCACACCAUACAG